This 69-nucleotide transfer RNA is filed under the name Pseudocolaspis sp. PSE01. RNAcentral describes it as "tRNA-Met". Lineage: Eukaryota; Metazoa; Arthropoda; Insecta; Coleoptera; Chrysomelidae. The record is from RNAcentral.
AAAAAGGUAAGCUAAAUCAAGCUCCUGGGUUCAUACCCCAUUAAUGAAGGCCCCACCCUUCCCUUUUUA